Non-coding RNA from Gasterosteus aculeatus aculeatus (three-spined stickleback), 638 nucleotides. NCBI's taxonomy places the organism in Eukaryota, Metazoa, Chordata, Actinopteri, Perciformes, Gasterosteidae. The record is from RefSeq and is a predicted model, not a curated record.
AAUAGACCUCAUGCAUUAAAUCCUCAAAACAAGGGUCUGUUUUAUGACAGAUGAGUUGGCGAGGGAUUCCAGUGGAGCACCUCGCUUGUUUUUCAUUAAAAAUGGCCUUUUCUCAUUUAAAGAGUUAAUUAGGAACAUGGACUUCCCACUUCAAGAGAUAUAAUAUUAUGUUAAAUAAUAUUGAUACAUAACUUUAAUUGGGUGUAGAUGAGAGAAACCAAUGCUGGUCCCUUUGGACAUUUUUAGUUCAUUGUUCAGAUCAUUGGAGGUUCUCUGAAUAUCACUGUGUGUUUUGGGCCGAGCACCAAUCACCCCGGCGUGUCAUCAGAAGGGGACAGUCGCUCAGCAAUUCGCCAUACGAAGCCGAAAAUGAUUUUCUCAGCCCUUUGCGAGAGCAAAAACCGACGGGAUGCUCUUCAGAUAUCAGAGGAGGGAAGAAGCGGCUUCGAGGGCUCUCUGGUUGGACCGCUGGACCCACGAUGAACCAAAAUAAUCUGAGAAGGGAAGGAGACCUGCUGCGGCCGCCAGCCGAUUUCCGGCCAAUCUGUUCCACCAAACCGUGUCAUUUGAUGGCUUCCUCGUGUGUGAAUGUGGUUUUAAACAAGAAGCAACAAGCAGAAUGCGCCUGUUUGAUGAAU